RNAcentral lists this ribosomal RNA (494 nucleotides) under uncultured bacterium. RNAcentral's name for it is "partial 16S ribosomal RNA". It matches the Rfam family "Bacterial small subunit ribosomal RNA", at positions 28 to 507 of the family's 1533-position model. The record is from RNAcentral.
GACGAACGCUGGCGGCGUGCUUAACACAUGCAAGUCGAACGGUGAAGCGCCUUCCUUUUUGGUGGGUGUGGAUGAGUGGCGAACGGGUGAGUAACACGUUAGUAACCUGCCCCCUUCUUCUGGAUAACCGCAUGAAAGUGUGGCUAAUACGGGUUAUUCUGGGUCUGUCGCAUGAUGGGUCUGGGAAAGAUCUUGUUUCGGUGGGGGAUGGGCUCGCGGCCUAUCAGCUUGUUGGUGGGGUGAUGGCCUACCAAGGCGGUGCCGGGUAGCCGGCCUGGGAGGGUGGACGGUCACACUGGGACUGAGACACGGAGCAGACUCCUGCGGGAGGCAGCAGUGGGGAAUAGUGCACAGUGGGCGCAAGCCUGAUGCAGCGACGCCGCGUGAGAGAUGGAGGCCUUCGGGUUGUGAACCUCUUGCGCCAGUGAAGCAGGCCUGCCUAGUUUGUGGGUGGGUUGACGGUAGCUGGAGAAGAAGCGCCGGCUAACUACGUG